CUCUGUUAAAAAAAUCAACAAACUAAAUACACUGAAGUCAAUAUGUCGAAAGUUUUUGCUGAUAAAUAAACUGAUAUUAAAAUUAAGAUAAAUGAUAAAUGAAGGCCAUUGGAUAACGAAUUGAGUAAAAAUAUGAUAAAUACGAGACAGAGGUACUGCACUUAACCAUUAACGUUACUGAAGCUGGAUAUGGAAGUGAAUAUGUGAUUUUAAAAAUAUGGCGUUUUAUUGCAUUUGGAAUAUUCUACUAUUAUUGAGGUUGCUUUCAAUUCCACAAUAUGAAGCAUUUGCCAAUUCCAGUAAUGAUGUGAAAACUUUGGAAAAUACCACCCAAGCAUUUGCCAAUUCCAGUACUGAUGUAAACACAGUGGAAUAUACAACCACAGGUUAA
Molecule: long non-coding RNA, 391 nt
Organism: Saccostrea cuccullata (small rock oyster)
Lineage: Eukaryota; Metazoa; Mollusca; Bivalvia; Ostreida; Ostreidae
Exons: 3
Source: RefSeq, a predicted model, not a curated record